Molecule: ribosomal RNA, 268 nt
Filed under: uncultured bacterium
Lineage: Bacteria
Description: partial 16S ribosomal RNA
Source: RNAcentral
CUGCUGCCUUCCGUAGGAGUUUGGACCGUGUCUCAGUUCCAAUGUGGGGGACCUUCCUCUCAGAACCCCUAUCCAUCGUCGUCUUGGUGGGCCGUUACCCCGCCAACUAACUAAUGGAACGCAUCCCCAUCGAUAACCGAAAUUCUUUAAUAUCAAGAUCAUGCGACCUUGAUAUCCUAUCGGAUAUUAAUCUUUCUUUCGAAAGGCUAUCCCCGAGUUAUCGGCAGGUUGGAUACGUGUUACUCACCCGUGCGCCGGUCGCCAUCGG